UAAUAAGUGUUUUAUGGCACUUUUUAAAUCCAUAUCCACCUUGUGUGCAAUGUCAGUCGAUCUUCUUCACGGAGGAUCGACCAAACAUCAACCUUUAUCUUUUAACUCUUUGUCUUAAAAAUAUUAUGAAUAAACAAUUCAAAAUA
This 146-nucleotide unclassified non-coding RNA is filed under the name soil metagenome. RNAcentral describes it as "partial internal transcribed spacer 1". The record is from RNAcentral.